Molecule: unclassified non-coding RNA, 345 nt
Filed under: soil metagenome
Description: partial contains 5.8S ribosomal RNA, internal transcribed spacer 2, and large subunit ribosomal RNA
Rfam family: 5.8S ribosomal RNA (bases 1-120)
Source: RNAcentral
GAUGAAGAACGUAGCGAAAUGCGAUAAGUAAUGUGAAUUGCAGAAUUCAGUGAAUCAUCGAAUCUUUGAACGCACAUUGCGCCCGCCGGUAUUCCGGCGGGCAUGCCUGUUCGAGCGUCAUUUCAACCGUCAAGCCCUGGGCUUGUGUUGGGGACCUGCGGCUGCCGCAGGCCCUGAAAUGCAGUGGCGGGCUCGCAAGACACACCGAGCGUAGUAGCUUACAACCUCGCUUUGGGAGUGCUGCGGGUGCUGGCCGUAAAGCGACCUUUUGCGUCUUUAGCACUAGGUUGACCUCGGAUCAGGUAGGAGGACCCGCUGAACUUAAGCAUAUCAAUAAGCGGAGGA